This 356-nucleotide long non-coding RNA is filed under the name Phaseolus vulgaris (common bean). RNAcentral describes it as "long non-coding RNA (PVUL_LNC002402)". The record is from RNAcentral. Lineage: Eukaryota; Viridiplantae; Streptophyta; Magnoliopsida; Fabales; Fabaceae.
UUGCAGCGUGGUAUUAUGAAAAGAAAAAGGAGGAAGUAUAUAAAUUUAAAAAUAAAAACAAGGGAAAAAAACAAAUUUGAUUGUUUGAAAAGAUUAAUUUUGUGAUUGAUAAUAACAUAGCAUAGGAGUAGGAGACCGAGCUUGACGCGUAGAUCACGAGGCUUGGAGGUGAAGUCGGAAUGUGGGGUUGUUUUGACUCUUCUUCCAUUUGAACUUUACAACUUUGCCAACUUGUUUGUGAGUGGCGUCUUACAUGAGUUAUUAUUGACUAAACCAAUGGUCCUUCCUGGGAAUCUUCUAAAGCCGGUUGACAAGUUCUUAGAAGCGGAAUUAAUUGUUUAGGAAUUCUACUAGUG